UGGAUGUGUUCAGAAGACCUCUUGCCCUUC
This 30-nucleotide non-coding RNA is filed under the name Homo sapiens (human). The record is from RNAcentral. Lineage: Eukaryota; Metazoa; Chordata; Mammalia; Primates; Hominidae.